Molecule: ribosomal RNA, 494 nt
Filed under: uncultured bacterium
Lineage: Bacteria
Description: partial 16S ribosomal RNA
Rfam family: Bacterial small subunit ribosomal RNA
Source: RNAcentral
GACGAACGCUGGCGGCGCGCUUAACACGUGCAAGUCGAACGGAAAGGCCUGCUUUCCCUUGUGGAUUGCGGGUACUCGCGUGGCGAACGGGUGAGUAACACGUGAGUGAUCUGCCCCCAACUUGGGUAUAAGCCUGGGCAACUGGGUCUAAUUCCCGAUAGGACUGCAGGGUGGUGCCUGUGGUGGCAAACGAUUUUCUAGUAGUUGGGGUUGAGCUCGCGGCCUAUCAGCUUGUUGGUGGGGUAAUGGCCUACCACGGCGGCGACGGGUAGCCGGCCUGGGAGGGUGGACGGCCACAGUGGGACUGAGAUACGGCCCAGACUCCUACGGGAGGCAGCAGUGGGGAAGAUUGCACAAUGGGCGGAAGCCUGAUGCAGCGACGCCGCGUGGGUGAUGACGGCCUUCGGGGUGUAAACUCCUGGCGACCGAGAGGAAGCCACCUGGUUGGAAGGGUGGUGACGGUAGUGGUAGAAGAAGCACCGGCUAACUACGUG